Molecule: ribosomal RNA, 253 nt
Filed under: uncultured bacterium
Lineage: Bacteria
Description: partial 16S ribosomal RNA
Rfam family: Bacterial small subunit ribosomal RNA
Source: RNAcentral
UACAGAGACUGCAAGCGUUAUUCGGAUUCACUGGGCGUAAAGGGUGCGCAGGCGGCCAAGUGUGUCAGGUGUGAAAUCCCGAGGCUUAACCUCGGAACUGCGCCUGAAACUACUUGGCUAGAGUACCGGAGAGGGUAACGGAAUUCACGGUGUAGCAGUGAAAUGCGUAGAUAUCGUGAGGAACACCAGAGGCGAAGGCGGUUACCUGGACAGUUACUGACGCUCAGGCACGAAAGCGUGGGGAGCAAAAGGG